GACGAACGCUGGCGGCGUGCUUAACACAUGCAAGUCGAACGGAAAGGCCCUGCUUGUGUGUGGUGCUCGAGUGGCGAACGGGUGAGUAACACGUGAGUAACCUGCCCUUGACGUUGGGAUAACGUCAGGAAACUGGGUCUAAUACCGGAUAUGAGCUCCUGCUGCAUGGUGGGGGUUGGAAAGUUUCGGCGGUUGGGGAUGGACUCGCGGCUUAUCAGCUUGUUGGUGGAGUAGUGGCUUACCAAGGCUUUGACGGGUAGCCGGCCUGAGAGGGUGACCGGCCACAUUGGGACUGAGAUACGGCCCAGACUCCUACGGGAGGCAGCAGUGGGGAAUAUUGCACAAUGGGCGGAAGCCUGAUGCAGAAACGCCGCGUGCGGGAUGACGGCCUUUGGGUUGUAAACCGCUUUCGCCUGUGACGAAGCGUGAGUGACGGUAAUGGGUAAAGAAGCACCGGCUAACUACGUG
Molecule: ribosomal RNA, 468 nt
Filed under: uncultured bacterium
Lineage: Bacteria
Description: partial 16S ribosomal RNA
Rfam family: Bacterial small subunit ribosomal RNA
Source: RNAcentral